AGUGAACGCUGGCGGUAGGCCUAACACAUGCAAGUCGAACGGCAGCACAGUAAGAGCUUGCUCUUACGGGUGGCGAGUGGCGGACGGGUGAGGAAUACAUCGGAAUCUACUUUUUCGGGGGGGAUAACGUAGGGAAACUUACGCUAAUACCGCAUACGACCUACGGGUGAAAGCAGGGGAUCUUCGGACCUUGCGCGAUUGAAUGAGACGAUGUCGGAUUAGCUAGUUGGCGGGAUAAAGGCCCACCAAGGCGACGAUCCGUAGCUGGUCUGAGAGGAUGAUCAGCCACACUGGAACUGAGACACGGUCCAGACUCCUACGGGAGGCAGCAGUGGGGAAUAUUGGACAAUGGGCGCAAGCCUGAUCCAGCCAUACCGCGUGGGUGAAGAAGGCCUUCGGGUUGUAAAGCCCUUUUGUUGGGAAAGAAAAGCAGCAGGUUAAUACCCCGCUGUUCUGACGGUACCCAAAGAAUAAGCACCGGCUAACUUCGUG
Molecule: ribosomal RNA, 492 nt
Filed under: uncultured bacterium
Lineage: Bacteria
Description: partial 16S ribosomal RNA
Rfam family: Bacterial small subunit ribosomal RNA
Source: RNAcentral